Molecule: ribosomal RNA, 255 nt
Filed under: uncultured bacterium
Lineage: Bacteria
Description: partial 16S ribosomal RNA
Rfam family: Bacterial small subunit ribosomal RNA
Source: RNAcentral
GACGGAGGAUGCAAGUGUUAUCCGGAAUCACUGGGCGUAAAGCGUCUGUAGGUGGUUCAAUAAGUCAACUGUUAAAUCUUGAGGCUCAACUUCAAAAAUCGCAGUCGAAACUAUUGGACUCGAGUAUAGUAGGGGUAAAGGGAAUUUCCAGUGGAGCGGUGAAAUGCGUAGAGAUUGGAAAGAACACCAAUGGCGAAAGCACUUUACUGGGCUAUUACUGACACUGAGAGACGGAAAGCUAGGGUAGCAAAUGGG